GUAGGUGAACCUGCGGAAGGAUCAUUAUUGAUUUUUAAAGGAUGUGCUGGCUGCCCUCAGAGGUUUGCAUGUGCACUCCACAAAAUCUCCAUUCUCUACACCAUUGUGCACAACCCAGUAGGCAAAACAGGUUCACAGAGCAAUAGACGAAGCGCCGGAGCGGACGAGCGCAUCUGGGCCACAAAUAAUUAGUGAGCCCGAUUGCUGUGCACACUGUCUGCCUAUGUUUUUUAUACCAAACCCCAAUAAU
This 250-nucleotide unclassified non-coding RNA is filed under the name plant metagenome. RNAcentral's name for it is "partial contains small subunit ribosomal RNA, internal transcribed spacer 1, and 5.8S ribosomal RNA". The record is from RNAcentral.